Non-coding RNA from Lolium perenne, 3739 nucleotides. The record is from RefSeq and is a predicted model, not a curated record. Lineage: Eukaryota; Viridiplantae; Streptophyta; Magnoliopsida; Poales; Poaceae.
AAUCAUGUGUCGCGCCUCUCCUCCCCAAUCCCAUCUCUGCCGGUCGCCCUCCCUGGCCCAAUCCUCCCUCGCCUCGUCGUCGCCGCCGUCGGGCUGCCCGGCGGAAGUAGCGCCGCCUCGUCGUCGCCAUCGCCGGCGGCUGCCGGUGGAGGCAGCAGGUCGCCGCCUCCUCGCCGCUCCAAGCGGAAGCAGCGCUGCCUCAUCCUCCAAUCCUUGGUCUGUCCUCCUCUUCUCAAUCCUCACUCUCUUCCCAAGCGCGGCGUGCUGCCUCCACGAGCGCGAGCGUCCUGGUGGGUUGCCCCUGGCACUGCAUAGGAGCUCCAAUGGGGUCCUCGCUCCUUGUUUUCUCGCGGACGACCUCUACACCAGUACGUCACCAUGCCACCACGAGCCCCAUCGCUCCCUCCUCUCCAAGGAACAGCUGCAUAUAUUGGGAUUGCCAAAUAGAAGAGGUCACCUGGGAGUGGAUUCAGGAGAUGAAAGAUUCCAUGAUGACUCUGUUGGAGCAUACCAAUUGCAUGGACAAGUAUUGCAGCUGGUUAAUUUGUUGCUUGCCAAUUUUUAUUCCAUUAUCCAUGAAACUGUUCUGAUAUAUAAUAUAAUUAAGGUGUUCCAUCCACGGACACUCAACAAGCAGUAAGAUUGGAUGAUACUUAGUUUAACCAAAGAUUUCCAAGUCCUAAGGUGCUGGUUCCAGUUGUUGAAAGAGCCCAGCAGCUUCGUGGCGGCAGUGCGUCUUCUGCUCUUUCCGUAUGAUAUAUAGCUCUCAUGUGGUUUUGUAUUCUGUGUUUCUUACCUUUGCAAUGGUUAUCUUUGACAGAGACUGUAAAUUUCCUAAUGAUUUUCCUCUUAUUGUAGAUUUCCUCUAUAGUGUCCGUGUCUCAUGUUGUUUUCCUGAUGCUUGUAGGCCUUUGUCGAUAUGUAGAAUGAAGCAUAGAUUAUUUUGCACUUCAUUUCUGAAGUUUAUAAAAAAAGAGGAGAUUCCUACCUCUUAAUAAAGUUGUGUCCAAUGUCCUCCCUGUGUUGGCGAUGACCCAGGCAAUUAGCAUUCCAGGUGAUAAAGAAGCAUUUCCAUAGUGGAAUGUCUCGCUGCGGAGGAGCGGGGUCACUCUGAGCGUGAUCAUAAGAUUAUCCUCAGAAAUGAAGGAUCAAUUGCAGUUUCUAUUAUGCUAGAGUCAAAGUUCUCGAAUUUACUGUAGAGUAUGACUCAGACAACAAACCAUUCCAAGAGACAGUUAAACCUAUGGUAGAUGGUGGAACAGAAGGUUUCGAAGGUUAUGCUAGAGUCAUUAUGCCAAGGAUAACACCUUGUUUUGAGCGCAACAUAUGGAUUUUCUCUCCCUAUAUAAAGUUUCCAUUAUGUACCUUCGCCAAGACUUAGAGUACUGCUGCUCAUUGCAUUGAGUAUGCUCGUUUCAUCAAAUGGGACAAGAACAUAUGCAGUGGAUUUAUUCAGAGGUUUGUUCUACUGUUAUGACAUGUAAUUUAGCAAUAUGGUGUUCGGCAGGUGAAAAUUCCGCUGCCAGUGGCGGACGUUUCGGACGUUUCGUGAGUGUGGAUGGCAUUGCAGCUCGAAUACGAAACCUGACAUAUAGAAUUGUAGCCUUGUCAAGAUUAUCAAGUUUCUCUAGCAGUCUGAUGUACUCCAAUACUAGGCUUUUAUUUCUGCUGCUUUUUCAUUGGAACCUUUGAAGCUUGUUUUUGACUGCACCAGAAGUGUGUCAAAUUCGUUGCAUCAGGCCCCAUUCUUAGUUUGUUACUCAAAUAGUUGGUGCCACCAAAUAGUAAGAACGAAUGUUAUAUUUAACAAGUUAUUUAUGAAUAUUUUUAUUCUUACAUAUUAGCCAAAUCUAUUACCAUCUAAAUGCAAAAUAUAUGUAUGCCAAAAAUCCUGAGAUUUUCCAAGUGGACCAUGCAUAAAUGUGAUUUAGUCAGAAAGGCAUAGCACAACAUUUUUUCAGAAAAUGCCACACGAUUAGCAUUUCUUGAAUUGCUCUAGAGAUUUGGUUUGGUUAGUUAUUCUCUAUUCUCUAUUCUUGUGGCAGACAUAUAUUUUGCAUUUAGAUGGUAUGACUUGGCCAGUGAUCUCGGGUCAUAUUACAGUUUUUGCAUUGUUGAUAAACUCUUGUUCAGGAAAUCUUUUGUUCGAGCCAUUUAUUGCUUGAAUAUGUUAUAUAUUCAUGACUGGAGGAUGGACACUAAGUAAUUCAUAUUCUCUGCUAAACUUGGUUGGUCAUACUUAUGAAUUGGCUUCUGCUAAAAGUAGUGCACGUGGUCAUGCCAUCCUUAUCUUUAUACAUGCCAAGAAGUGGGCCUAAGCUCCAGGUGAGAUCACCGGUAGAUUCAGAUAUGACACCCUUUCCUUCAACUCUUUUUGAAACAUCCAUUGAAAAAUGAGGACUGAUGGAGACAUAUUUAAAUAAGUACUUCAUCACUCGUGUUUUAUUACGCCACUCAACAUUAAUGUGUCCCCGAUGUUUUUUAGCAAGUCCCUGUUGUAUGGAACUACCUGCCGAUUAUCAAGUCACUUUCCAUUCUUAUAUACAAAGCACCCAUUGUCACUGCAUCUAUAAAUAGCAGAACCAUUCCACUCUUAUAUGUAUCAUACUCAGUUUCUUCUGUAUUGUAUAACCUAUUGUUGCUAAUUUAGGUGCAACAAACGUUUUCUAUUUUUUUGAUCUUCAAUUUAUAUCACUCAGCUAAUGGACCUAAGAUCAUAUAGCAGCUUCAAGGUUGUCCAGACUGUUUGAAGUGCUCUGUUUUGAGAGGCCGGAAAUGCUCUUUAAUUCUUCUUAUUAAAUUUGAGUUUGCAUUUUGCAAAAAAAAAAAAAAAGACAGGUAAUGAGUGCUAGGGAUAAUGAACGGUUCUUCAUUACAAUUCAUCUUUUGUUAUUAGGCUCGAUUGUUUGUCACGAAAUGAUAGAUGUAAUAGGCAUGGUACUUCACUACCAUUAAAUUAUAGCUUACGUACCCUCUACAUGUCAUUGAUUUUUCGUUCAUGAUAUCUGCCUUGGGCUCUACUCUAAGAUCGCAUCUGCAAUGUUGAGCCACGACCGGAGGUGCGAUGGUGGGGUUCGCCGUGGUCGGUCGGUCCCCGGCAAGAUGUCAACACCGGCGAUUCUAGACGCCGAGGCCGCCAAGUGAAGUUGGCCGACUCACUUUUCGCCAAUUGACAUGGCAGCUCCCGCCAUUGGCAGCGGCGCGGUCUUCCCACAAGAAAGCUCCCUCUAUUUUCUCCAUCAGCUUCAGGAUUUUUUUGGGCGGUGCCAACACCAGAAAUUGGUGGAUUGGGAUCGCACCAAAUACAGACUUCACCAGAGCCAACCUCCCUGGUUUUGCAUCUAUCUUGAUUUCCGGGUGGGUAGUUUGCCUGCCAUUUUGACAGCAAGGGGCAGUAGUUGGGCAGCAGUUAUGUGAAACAAAAAUGAAUUCUAUGUCCAGUACGACUAUCUAGAAUAAAAUAACUGCUAUGAAUCCUCAGUUCAUAAAAAUAUUCAAAUUUAAUUUUACUUGAUCACGUUGACAGUUAGAAGCUUUGAACCAUGUUUUUUUGUGUGUAGUAUUUAGUUUAUACCAUCAGAGUAGCUGCUAAAACAGAAGUGGCUGUAAGAUACUUUGCAUUUCAUAUGGUUUUAGAUCAUUGCCUCACAUGGAGCUGAACCAUCUGUCAGCAAUGUCAUCGCCAAGGUCAGAGACGAAGCUGCCCUUUGGUUCGGAGUCGGCGCGUCGAGCUCGCGUG